UUCAAAUGAAUGAAGGGCACACGGUGGAUGCCUUGGCAUCGGACGCCGAUGAAGGACGUGGCCGGCUGCGAUAAGCUACGGUGAGCUGCUGAGCAAGCUAUGACCCGUAGAUCUCCGAAUGGGGAAACCCAGCACUCUUAAUCGGGUGUUAUUCCCGCCUGAACACAUAGGGCGGGUAAAGGUAAGUCGGGGAACUGAAACAUCUCAGUACCCGGAGGAACAGAAAGAAACCUCGAUUCCCAAAGUAGUGGCGAGCGAAAUGGGAACAGCCCAAACCUGUUAUGUGUAAGCCUGGAGGCGUUGCAUUUCAGGGGUUGUAGGAUCGUCAUUCUCAGAGCUCCAGUUCUGAGCGACAGUUACAAAGGAACGCGGUAGUGGAAGCUUCUGGAAAGUUGCACCACAGAGGGUAACAGUCCCGUACGCGAAAUUGCGUUCCCUGUCGUUGACGACACCUGAGUAGCGCCGUGCACGUGAAACGCGGCGUGAACCCGCGGGGACCACCCCGUAAGGCUAAAUACGUUCCGAUGACCGAUAGUGCACCAGUACCGUGAGGGAAAGGUGAAAAGCACCCCGGAAGGGGAGUGAAAUAGAUCCUGAAACCGUAUGCCUACAAGUAG
RNAcentral lists this ribosomal RNA (617 nucleotides) under Verrucomicrobiaceae bacterium. RNAcentral describes it as "partial 23S ribosomal RNA". It matches the Rfam family "Bacterial large subunit ribosomal RNA", at positions 1 to 573 of the family's 2925-position model. Lineage: Bacteria; Pseudomonadati; Verrucomicrobiota; Verrucomicrobiia; Verrucomicrobiales; Verrucomicrobiaceae. The record is from RNAcentral.